AGAUUGAACGCUGGCGGCAUGCCUUACACAUGCAAGUCGAACGGUAGAGUAGCAAUACUCGAGAGUGGCGAACGGGUGAGUAAUAUAUCGGAACGUGCCCAGUCGUGGGGGGAUAACGUAGAGAAAUUUACGCUAAUACCGCAUACGAUCUAAGGAUGAAAGCGGGGGAUUCGCAAGAACCUCGCGCGAUUGGAGCGGCUGAUAUCAGAUUAGGUUGUUGGUGAGGUAAAAGCUCACCAAGCCGACGAUCUGUAGCUGGUUUGAGAGAACGACCAGCCACACUGGGACUGAGACACGGCCCAGACUCCUACGGGAGGCAGCAGUGGGGAAUUUUGGACAAUGGGCGAAAGCCUGAUCCAGCAAUGCCGCGUGCAGGAAGAAGGCCUUCGGUGUAAACUGCUUUUGUAACGGAACGAAAGGACUUCUUUCUAAAUAAAGAGGCCCAUAGACGGUACCGUAAGAAUAAGACAACCGCUAACUACGUGCCAGCAGCCGCGGUAAUCUA
This 505-nucleotide ribosomal RNA is filed under the name uncultured soil bacterium. Its description in RNAcentral is "bacterial SSU rRNA". It matches the Rfam family "Bacterial small subunit ribosomal RNA", at positions 26 to 527 of the family's 1533-position model. The record is from RNAcentral.